AGAGUUUGAUCCUGGCUCAGGAUGAACGCUAGCGGCAGGCUUAACACAUGCAAGUCGAGGGGUAUAGUUCUUCGGAACUAGAGACCGGCGCACGGGUGCGUAACGCGUAUGCAAUCUACCUUUUGCAGAGGGAUAGCCCAGAGAAAUUUGGAUUAAUACCUCAUAGUAUGUGAGAAUGGCAUCAUUUUCACAUUAAAGUCACAACGGCAAAAGAUGAGCAUGCGUCCCAUUAGCUUGUUGGUAAGGUAACGGCUUACCAAGGCUACGAUGGGUAGGGGUCCUGAGAGGGAGAUCCCCCACACUGGUACUGAGACACGGACCAGACUCCUACGGGAGGCAGCAGUGAGGAAUAUUGGACAAUGGGCGCAAGCCUGAUCCAGCCAUGCCGCGUGCAGGAUGACGGUCCUAUGGAUUGUAAACUGCUUUUGUACAGGAAGAAACACUGGUUCGUGAACCAGCUUGACGGUACUGUAAGAAUAAGGAUCGGCUAACUCCGUGCCAGCAGCCGCGGUAAUACGGAGGAUCCAAGCGUUAUCCGGAAUCAUUGGGUUUAAAGGGUCCGUAGGCGGUUUAGUAAGUCAGUGGUGAAAGCCCAUUGCUCAACGGUGGAACGGCCAUUGAUACUGCUAGACUUGAAUUAUUAGGAAGUAACUAGAAUAUGUAGUGUAGCGGUGAAAUGCGUAGA
Molecule: ribosomal RNA, 685 nt
Filed under: uncultured bacterium
Lineage: Bacteria
Description: bacterial SSU rRNA
Rfam family: Bacterial small subunit ribosomal RNA
Source: RNAcentral